Molecule: non-coding RNA, 27 nt
Filed under: Rattus norvegicus (Norway rat)
Lineage: Eukaryota; Metazoa; Chordata; Mammalia; Rodentia; Muridae
Source: RNAcentral
UGAUGUAACAAAAGGACCAAUAGCAGC